Bombus pascuorum is the source of this 181-nucleotide long non-coding RNA. RefSeq lists it as uncharacterized. The record is from RefSeq and is a predicted model, not a curated record. NCBI's taxonomy places the organism in Eukaryota, Metazoa, Arthropoda, Insecta, Hymenoptera, Apidae. The transcript is spliced from 2 exons.
ACCACGAAUCUCGAUCGCGAUCUCCACGAAUGCGCGACAGAAUUGAUGCGAAGAAUCGUUUCUCGUAUACGUUCAGUCGCUUUCCGCGGACUGAGAGCACGCCAGGCUCCCAUGCUUCGAUGUCCCGGAUAGACGCGGUUUGCCGAGGCCCCUCCGUCUUCCAACGUUCACGCGCCGAUCG